Molecule: ribosomal RNA, 747 nt
Filed under: Triticum aestivum (bread wheat)
Lineage: Eukaryota; Viridiplantae; Streptophyta; Magnoliopsida; Poales; Poaceae
Description: partial small subunit ribosomal RNA
Source: RNAcentral
AUGCACAAGGCAUAUGAUAGGGUGGAAUGGUGCUUCCUGAAGAGAAUGAUGGAGAGGUUCGGUUUUGAUAACAGAUGGGUCUCGUUGAUAAUGGCUUGUGUGUCAUCAGUUUCAUAUAAUGUCUGCUUCAACGGGACAAAUAAGGACGUGUUCCACCCAUCGAGAGGGCUAAGGCAGGGAGACCCCUUGUCUCCUUAUUUAUUUUUGUUGUGUGUUGAGGCCUUGUCAAGUUUGUUGCAAAGGGAAGAGAACAAUGGGAAUAUAGUAGGUGUGAGAGUCUGUAGAGAUGCACCACAAAUCUCACAUUUACUUUUUGCGGACGACUCCCUAAUCCUGAUGAGAGCCGAUGGGGCUAAUGCUGAAUGUCUACGAGAUAUUUUGGAUGCUUAUUGUGAGAGCUCGGGGCAGUUGGUAAGUGAUGCCAAGUCCAGCAUCCAUUUUAGCCUGAAUUUGGCAGUGGAAGAAAAAGUAGCAAUAUGUCAGAAUCUGCGUAUAUUCACGGAAGCUUUGAAUGAUAGAUACUUGGGUCUACCGGCGAUGGUGGGGGCGGACAGGAGUGAAGCUUUUGAAUACCUCAUUGAUCGGAUCAAUCAUGUGGUGAGCGGAUGGAAAGAUAAGCCGUUAUCUAUAGGAGGGGAAGAUGUUCUCAUUAAGGCUGUUGCUCAAGCCAUGCCAGUUUUUGCGAUGUCGGUGUUUAAUAUCCCGAAAAAAGUUUGCAAAGGGAUGACAGAUGCCAUAUCAAGAUAA